UUCUGCUCUGUAGCUCAAAACCUGCCUC
This 28-nucleotide non-coding RNA is filed under the name Rattus norvegicus (Norway rat). The record is from RNAcentral. Lineage: Eukaryota; Metazoa; Chordata; Mammalia; Rodentia; Muridae.